UACGGGGGGGGCAAGCGUUGUUCGGAAUUACUGGGCGUAAAGGGCUCGUAGGCGGCCAACUAAGUCAGACGUGAAAUCCCUCGGCCUAACCGGGGAACUGCAUCUGAUACUGGAUGGCUUGAGUUCGGGAGAGGGAUGCGGAAUUCCAGGUGUAGCGGUGAAAUGCGUAGAUAUCUGGAGGAACACCGGUGGCGAAGGCGGCAUCCUGGACCGACACUGACGCUGAGGAGCGAAAGCCAGGGGAGCAAACGGG
RNAcentral lists this ribosomal RNA (253 nucleotides) under uncultured bacterium. RNAcentral describes it as "partial 16S ribosomal RNA". It matches the Rfam family "Bacterial small subunit ribosomal RNA", at positions 524 to 776 of the family's 1533-position model. The record is from RNAcentral.